This 423-nucleotide ribosomal RNA is filed under the name uncultured bacterium. RNAcentral describes it as "bacterial SSU rRNA". It matches the Rfam family "Bacterial small subunit ribosomal RNA", at positions 361 to 776 of the family's 1533-position model. The record is from RNAcentral.
AUAUUGGACAAUGGGCGAAAGCCUGAUCCAGCAAUGCCGCGUGUGUGAAGAAGGCCUGCGGGUUGUAAAGCACUUUCAGCAGGGAAGAAAAGCUCGGUGCCAAUACCACCGGGUCUUGACGUCACCUGCAGAAGAAGCACCGGCUAACUCCGUGCCAGCAGCCGCGGUAAUACGGAGGGUGCAAGCGUUAAUCGGAAUUACUGGGCGUAAAGCGCGCGUAGGCGGUUUGGUAAGUCGGAUGUGAAAGCCCUGGGCUUAACCUGGGAAUUGCAUUCGAUACUGCCUGACUAGAGUGUGGUAGAGGGAAGUGGAAUUUCCGGUGUAGCGGUGAAAUGCGUAGAUAUCGGAAGGAACACCAGUGGCGAAGGCGACUUCCUGGGCCAAGACUGACGCUGAGGCGCGAAAGCGUGGGGAGCAAACAGG